UAUUUUAUUGUCACCAAUUAAUGAAUUAGGUGGUUCAUUUUCACAUUAGAGCAAAAACAAACUCUCAUGCUUCUGGCGUCUCCAUCAUUCAUUCAUACAUACACUAUUUCACUUGAGAUUACAGUACAACACUUCUAGUUUAGAUAUUAGAAAAAGUGAAAAUGCUAUCAAGCGCAUUAAACUGCAGUUGGGUUUUAUCAUGAUGCUUUGACUAAAAUCCUAAGCAGAGUACAGUCAAACACCAAGAAAAUGCACUUUUUUAGUACACUAGUGAAUAUCUGAGAUUUAAAUGUGAUGUUUAGAUGAAAUGACAGAAAACAUUGAAUGUGCUCAACAACCAUAUUCAGGAUGGGUGGACAAAAAUGUAAAUUGCCUGGGAAUAAAUUAACACUGUUAUUUUUGGGAAACAGAACAAGAUAUGACACUGGGAUAUUUGUAUGCAUUAAAGAGCAAAAAAAAUAAAAAAAAGUUUAGUUAUGCUCUAUUAGCAGACAACAUAAUUUCAACCUGCACCUCAGUUCAUAAAAAUAAACAACUGAGGUCCAAAUCAAAACUAUCUGUGGUAAUCGACAACAUGCCACAAAUGUUGUCAGUAGAGCUUAACAUCUAUAAACCUGGAAUAUUCCUUAUUGACAAUACCCUUUGACUGACCACUGUGAACAAUAGUUUUAAACAUGAAACAAAAUCAUAGAAAACCAUGAUCGCCAUAGCCUUAAAACAUUUAUUUUUUAUAACAAAAAGAGUACUGGGAUGUAAACAGGGCACUGCUAUCUAGGUGCUAAACACACAAAUACAUUUAGGCCACGUCUUUUUAUGAACCUUAACAAAAUGGUGCAAUGAGUAUUCUGACUAAAUUAAAGAAACAAGGACAUAGUAACAAAAAAAAACGGAGGAAUUAAUUUCAUAUGGAACAAAAGUAAAUAGGACUCUGAUGUUUACUUACACCUUCAAUAAAGAACAGAUAUUCAAAACAGAAACUCGCAUGGUUGAUUAUAUGGAUGUCAUAAUCAACUAACUCAACAGUGCGUCUUUGGGACCAUUCACACUUGAAGUGCAACAUUU
Sinocyclocheilus rhinocerous is the source of this 1062-nucleotide long non-coding RNA. RefSeq lists it as uncharacterized. NCBI's taxonomy places the organism in Eukaryota, Metazoa, Chordata, Actinopteri, Cypriniformes, Cyprinidae. The record is from RefSeq and is a predicted model, not a curated record. The transcript is spliced from 2 exons.